This 691-nucleotide ribosomal RNA is filed under the name uncultured Bacteroidota bacterium. Its description in RNAcentral is "bacterial SSU rRNA". It matches the Rfam family "Bacterial small subunit ribosomal RNA", at positions 32 to 715 of the family's 1533-position model. The record is from RNAcentral. Lineage: Bacteria; Pseudomonadati; Bacteroidota.
AACGCUAGCUACAGGCUUAACACAUGCAAGUCGAGGGGCAGCAUGAACUUAGCUUGCUAAGUUUGAUGGCGACCGGCGCACGGGUGAGUAACGCGUAUCCAACCUGCCCCCCGCCCGGGAAUAGUCUUCUGAAAGGAAGUUUAAUGCCCGUUGCGGUCGCGUUCCCGCAUGGGAAUGCGACGAAAGGAAACGGCGGCGGAUGGGGAUGCGUUCCAUUAGCUGGUUGGCGGGGUAACGGCCCACCAAGGCGACGAUGGAUAGGGGUUCUGAGAGGAAGGCCCCCCACAUUGGGACUGAGACACGGCCCAAACUCCUACGGGAGGCAGCAGUGAGGAAUAUUGGUCAAUGGGCGGAAGCCUGAACCAGCCAAGUAGCGUGAGGGAUGAAGGCCCUACGGGUCGUAAACCUCUUUUAUAAGGGAAUAAAGAGCCCCACGUGUGGGGCGUUGCAUGUACCUUAUGAAUAAGCAUCGGCUAAUUCCGUGCCAGCAGCCGCGGUAAUACGGAAGAUGCGGGCGUUAUCCGGAUUUAUUGGGUUUAAAGGGAGCGUAGGCGGAGUUUUAAGUCAGCGGUAAAAUCGUGCGGCUCAACCGUGCCGUGCCGUUGAAACUGGGACUCUUGAGUCUGCACAGGGCACAUGGAAUUCGUGGUGUAGCGGUGAAAUGCUUAGAUAUCACGAAGAACUCCGAUUG